GAUGAACGCUAGCGGCAGGCUUAACACAUGCAAGUCGAGGGGUAUUGGUUUUCGGACCAAGAGACCGGCGCACGGGUGCGUAACGCGUAUGCAAUCUACCUUUUGCAGAGGGAUAGCCCCAGAGAAAUUUGGAUUAAUACCUCAUAGUAUAGUACUUUGGCAUCAAGGAACUAUUAAAGUCACAACGGCAAAAGAUGAGCAUGCGUCCCAUUAGCUAGUUGGUAAGGUAACGGCUUACCAAGGCUACGAUGGGUAGGGGUCCUGAGAGGGAGAUCCCCCACACUGGUACUGAGACACGGACCAGACUCCUACGGGAGGCAGCAGUGAGGAAUAUUGGACAAUGGGCGCAAGCCUGAUCCAGCCAUGCCGCGUGCAGGAUGACGGUCCUAUGGAUUGUAAACUGCUUUUAUACAGGAAGAAACACUCCGACGUGUCGGAGCUUGACGGUACUGUAAGAAUAAGGAUCGGCUAACUCCGUGCCAGCAGCCGUAC
RNAcentral lists this ribosomal RNA (492 nucleotides) under uncultured bacterium. RNAcentral describes it as "bacterial SSU rRNA". It matches the Rfam family "Bacterial small subunit ribosomal RNA", at positions 28 to 520 of the family's 1533-position model. The record is from RNAcentral.